RNAcentral lists this ribosomal RNA (488 nucleotides) under uncultured bacterium. RNAcentral's name for it is "bacterial LSU rRNA". It matches the Rfam family "Bacterial large subunit ribosomal RNA", at positions 396 to 887 of the family's 2925-position model. The record is from RNAcentral.
ACUAGGCGUGCGACAAGUAGGGCGGGACACGUGUAAUCCUGUCUGAAUAUGGGGGGGACCAUCCUCCAAGGCUAAAUACUCGUAAUCGACCGAUAGUGAACUAGUACCGUGAGGGAAAGGCGAAAAGAACCCCGGGAGGGGAGUGAAAUAGAUCCUGAAACCGCAUGCAUACAAACCAGUCGGAGCCUGGAAAACGGGUGACGGCGUACCUUUUGUUAAUGGGUCAGCGACUUACAUUCAGUGGCAAGGUUAACCGAAUAGGGAAGCCGUAGAGAAAUCGAGUCCGAAUAGGGCGUUCAGUCGCUGGGUGUAGACCCGAAACCAAGUGAUCUAUCCAUGGCCAGGAUGAAGGUGCCGUAACAGGUACUGGAGGUCCGAACCGACUAGUGUUGCAAAACUAGCGGAUGAGCUGUGGAUAGGGGGUGAAAGGCUAAACAAACUUGGAAUAGCUGGUUCUCUCCGAAAACUAUUUAGGUAGUGCUCAAGUA